RNAcentral lists this unclassified non-coding RNA (534 nucleotides) under Hevea brasiliensis (rubber tree). Lineage: Eukaryota; Viridiplantae; Streptophyta; Magnoliopsida; Malpighiales; Euphorbiaceae. The record is from RNAcentral.
GAAGGGGAUUCUGAGACUGAUAGCAGGCACAGCGAAGAGAAUAGAAAGGGGAAAAGCUAUGGGGAGGAAGAAGACAGUGGAAUUCGAUGAAUCGCCGCCUGAUGAUUUCGAUCCGGAGCAUCCGUAUAAGGAUCCGGUGGUGAUGCUAGAGAUGAGGGAACACAUUGUCAGAGAGAAGUGGAUCGAUAUCGAAAAGGCGAAGAUACUGAGGGAAAAGCUCAGAUGGUGCUAUCGUAUUGAAGGAGUCAAUCAUCUGCAGAAAUGCCGCCACCUCGUUCAACAAUACCUUGAUUCCACUCGUGGCAUCGGCUGGGGCAAGGACGGACGCCACCCGUCCCUUCAUGGUCCUAAAGUGGAGCCAGCCGAAUUGGAGUGAAUUGCUGGGUGGAACAACGGUGAGUUCAAAUGUUCGCAAGUUUUUUUGGUUAAUUUUAGUACUUAAUCGUACUGAAAAUCAAACCUUUUCUUUUUGUCAAAGCUUGAAUAAAUAACAGUGUAUAUCAGCUCUAUGCUUUAUUCGUGUACUGCUACGAG